GAUUUUAGUGGUAGCCCCAUGCUCCUGAUAGGCUAUGUGCCGUGAAAAGGACGCAUAAAGAUAAACGCUUGUGGACAACAUCACCUUAGAGUGAAAAGACGGGGAAAUGGCCAAAAGGAGACAGGCCUAAAUCAGUCCCCUACCUACAUUUUCUCCCAAUUCGCGACGCAUUCAACCCUAUGAGGAUCCAUGAGGAGAUGAGAGAGGAGGAGAGAGUGAGAAACAGAGAAAAGAAAAGCACUAAGUUCUUACAGGACGCAUCUGACCAGGCCAAAAUGCCAACUCUGCCACCUUGGGGACACAGGAAGGAACAAUUGAAGGAAUGCGUUUCAGGCAGACGGACGGACGGACGGGCAGACGGACGGGCGGACGGGCAGACGGACGGACGUACACACAGACCCUCUUAGAGAGAUGCUGGGACGCAUCUAAAAACAGCAUACAUGGUGACAUAUCACAUGGUGUCAAACUAUCGCGGGAUGAAGACUGCAGACGGACCUUGCAACCCCCGCAGUUGCUUAUCCCCGUUGAUGCUCGUCUGCAGACCGCCUCUGAGGUCACAUGCCCAUGAACUGGU
Engraulis encrasicolus (European anchovy) is the source of this 574-nucleotide long non-coding RNA. RefSeq lists it as uncharacterized. The record is from RefSeq and is a predicted model, not a curated record. NCBI's taxonomy places the organism in Eukaryota, Metazoa, Chordata, Actinopteri, Clupeiformes, Engraulidae. The transcript has 4 exons.